GCUAAUAUUUGCUGAGGUGUAACGUUUUGGCUGUGCUGGCACUGUUGUGUGUUUUAAAAAAAAAAAAUUAAUUAUGACGUGAAAUUUAAUAAAAUUAGGUUUAAAUUAAAAAUUGAAUUUGGGGUUAAUUGGGGGUAAUUAAUUAAAAAUCCCAUUAAGAACCUUAAUUGUUUCUGGAAAUCUAAAAUGGAAAAAAAUUCUCAAUCUGAAUCCUAAGAACCCUAGAACCAGAAACCUGGGGAAGAACCAAAAAACCAUAAAUCUUGAACAUAAUGAAAGAAUCGAAGAAAAAGAGGCCAAAGAAUAUUAAAAGCAUUAAAACAACAACAGAUUUUGUCCCUGACAAUGACGAGGUGAGAAGAAAAAAAAUGUAAGCGAAUGGAGGAACAAAAUUGAUCACCAGAAAACAAUAGCCAGAAAAGGCAACGAUCUCUAACAAAUCGAUAAUUACUGAAAUUGAAUCAAGAUAGAAUUUUAGCUCAAACAACGGUUCAAAAAUAUUUAUCAACAGAAGAUGAUCAUCAAAAGAAACAAAACAAUAGGAAAAGAAAAGAAAAAGGAGAAAACCCAGAUGAACAAUUCUUUGAUUUAAUCUUUCACAAUCCAAGAAACAACAGAAACACAGAGGAACAAAGAGAGAGAAAAAGAACCUGCAUGAGGAAGAACAGCAGGAGCAGAAACCGAACCACGAAAUCGAACCAGACAACAAAAAACAAAAAACAAAAGAACCAAUCAAUAAUUGAAGUGAACACAGUGCGACUCCCCUUUGACCAUUCCCGAAAAACAAAAACCAAAACCCUAUCCCCUCCCCCCAUGCUAAAAAACCCUCAGCCGAAGUCCGAAAUCAGCUAAAAAAACAACGUCGCAAGCGAGACGAAAAAAUGGAGAAAGAAUCUCGUCAGCGGAAUUUCUUCCCCAGGUUUCUGGUUCUAAGGUUCUUAGGAUUCAGAUUGGGGAUUUUUUUCC
RNAcentral lists this long non-coding RNA (966 nucleotides) under Vigna radiata. Its description in RNAcentral is "long non-coding RNA (VRAD_LNC006769)". Lineage: Eukaryota; Viridiplantae; Streptophyta; Magnoliopsida; Fabales; Fabaceae. The record is from RNAcentral.